Molecule: non-coding RNA, 21 nt
Filed under: Papiliotrema laurentii
Lineage: Eukaryota; Fungi; Basidiomycota; Tremellomycetes; Tremellales; Rhynchogastremaceae
Also listed under: 5 other names
Source: RNAcentral
UAACCUGCGGAAGGAUCAUUA